CCUCCUUUCUAAGAGAAAUUUUAAAGUUUAACUUUAAAAUUCGAAAUAAAGUCACCACCUACACAUCCCUUUAAACUUAAAAGUUAAUUCCACCGGGCUAGUAGCUCAGUUGGUUAGAGCACACGCUUGAUAAGCGUGGGGUCGGAGGUUCAAAUCCUCCCUGGCCCACCAUUUUGUUAACCAAUGGGGGCAUAGCUCAGUUGGGAGAGCGGUUGCUUUGCAAGCAACAGGUCGUCGGUUCGAUCCCGUCUGCCUCCACCAAAAUUAACUUGUUUAAAGAAAGUUUGUUAUUUGAAAUUGUGAAUAUAAUUAUGUAAAUUUAGAUUAAUAACCCUAAGUUAAUUUUUUUUAAUCUAAAUUUUUUGGAUUUAAAAUACUUAAGUAUCGUAUUUUAAAUCAUCUAAGUGUUGUUUGUUUACUUUAGACAAACAUCCGCAAUCUUUUUUUAUGUAUUAAUUUAAUGUGUAAAAAAAG
RNAcentral lists this transfer RNA (474 nucleotides) under uncultured Alphaproteobacteria bacterium. Its description in RNAcentral is "partial 16S-23S ribosomal RNA intergenic spacer". The stretch from base 95 to 168 matches the Rfam family "tRNA". Lineage: Bacteria; Pseudomonadati; Pseudomonadota; Alphaproteobacteria. The record is from RNAcentral.